GCCUUGAAGCAAAAAUUUGUGUGUUUCUUUGUGAUUCUUCUGGUUUGUGCUGUCUGGAGGGCAGAAGGAAGAUACCUGCCCACCCGAUCUGACAGCAGUCGGUACGAGCACAUCAAGGAGAUUCUCAGAGCGUUGAUGGAUCUGAACGAAUCUGAGUCACACAGCGGUAGACAGAACUACAUGUACGACGACGUGCUCCGUUCGAAAAGAGCAACAGCCGAUCAGAAGAUUCAAGAAACUGUUGUCGCAUGAUGAAACAAAAGGUCACAAAAUGGAACCCUACUGUUGAACUUUAAUUCCACUCAUAAUUUUUAUUAAUUUGAUGCAAUCAGGAAGUGGACAUGUAUUUAAAGAUUCAAACUCAUACAACUUUAGUCAUGUUUGAUUUUGUUCUCAUAUAAUUCAUUGUCACUCUCCUUUUGCUUUUAAAAACUGUCUUGUUAUGUAAUUCUGGAAACAUUAAAAUUAUUUUCUUGUUGUAGCUUA
Molecule: long non-coding RNA, 486 nt
Organism: Uloborus diversus
Lineage: Eukaryota; Metazoa; Arthropoda; Arachnida; Araneae; Uloboridae
Exons: 3
Source: RefSeq, a predicted model, not a curated record